GAUGGAAUGAUUUGGUCAAUCAAUAGUGUGCUCGAGCACUUUGAUUCGAAAUUCUGAAGUGCUGAUUCGACUUUCUUUUGCACUUUGAUUCUUCUUCUAUUUCAUGGUCAAACUAGAAACGAGUAAUUUUGCAGAUUUAACUUGGCCUCAACUGUAUGAUUUGUGCCAUAACUAGAAUCUCAUUGUGGGAUGCCAUCUUGAUGACUACUAAUUUUUCGAAUUUCAUAGAUUUUAGCUCCACUCCCAAUUGGGUUUGCCGUCUUUUUGGUUCACUUGGCAACAAUCCCCAUCACUGGAACCGGUAUCAACCCAGCCCGAAGCCUUGGUGCUGCCAUCAUUUACAACAAAGAUCACGCUUGGGACGACCAUGUAAGUUUUACGUCUGUAACUUCCAUAGACUAUGUUCUUACCUGUUCAUGACAUAUGAUUAGGCGCCCGGCCGUACUUAUAUUUGUGUCACUUCUGUCUUUCUUCAGUGGAUCUUUUG
Molecule: long non-coding RNA, 487 nt
Filed under: Olea europaea (common olive)
Lineage: Eukaryota; Viridiplantae; Streptophyta; Magnoliopsida; Lamiales; Oleaceae
Description: long non-coding RNA (OEUR_LNC014061)
Source: RNAcentral